AGUGAACGCUGGCGGUAGGCCUAACACAUGCAAGUCGAACGGCAGCACGGGCUUCGGUCUGGUGGCGAGUGGCGAACGGGUGAGUAAUGUAUCGGAACGUGCCCAGUCGUGGGGGAUAACGUAGUGAAAAUUACGCUAAUACCGCAUACGAUCUAUGGAUGAAAGCGGGGGAUCGCAAGACCUCGCGCGAUUGGAGCGGCCGAUAUCAGAUUAGGUAGUUGGUGGGGUAAAGGCCCACCAAGCCAACGAUCUGUAGCUGGUCUGAGAGGACGACCAGCCACACUGGAACUGGGACACGGUCCAGACUCCUACGGGAGGCAGCAGUGGGGAAUUUUGGACAAUGGGCGAAAGCCUGAUCCAGCCAUUCCGUGUGCAGGAUGAAGGCCCUCGGGUUGUAAACUGCUUUUGUACAGAACGAAAAGGUUUCUACUAAUACUAGGAGCUCAUGACGGUACUGUAAGAAUAAGCACCGGCUAACUACGUGCCAGCAGCCGCAGUAA
RNAcentral lists this ribosomal RNA (500 nucleotides) under uncultured bacterium. RNAcentral describes it as "partial 16S ribosomal RNA". It matches the Rfam family "Bacterial small subunit ribosomal RNA", at positions 29 to 523 of the family's 1533-position model. The record is from RNAcentral.